GACGAACGCUGGCGGCGCGCUUAACACAUGCAAGUCGAGCGGUAAGGCACCUUCGGGUGUCCCCGAGCGGCGGACGGGGGCGUAACACGGGAGUAAUCUGCCCUUCACUUCGGGAUAACCACCGGAAACGGUGGCUAAUACCGCAUACGCCCAAUCUUCGCAUGAGGUGCUGGCGGAAAGUCUUUUCGGUUUAGGCUGUGCUCGGGGCCUAUCAGCGUGUUGGUGGGGUAAUGGCCUACCAAGGACUCGACGGGUAGCCGGGCUGAGAGGGGGACCGGCCACACUGGGACUGAGACACGUACGAGACGCCGACGGGGGGAAGCAGUGGGGAAGAUCGGAAGCUGGGCGAAAGCAUGAUCCGGCAGCGACGAGGGAGGGAUGACGGCAUUGGGGUUGUAAAGCUCAUGAAGUACCGAAGAAGAGCCCUGUCGGGUGGUGACGGUAGGUACAGAAGAAGGACCGGCCAACUACGUG
This 474-nucleotide ribosomal RNA is filed under the name uncultured bacterium. Its description in RNAcentral is "partial 16S ribosomal RNA". It matches the Rfam family "Bacterial small subunit ribosomal RNA", at positions 28 to 507 of the family's 1533-position model. The record is from RNAcentral.